RNAcentral lists this ribosomal RNA (253 nucleotides) under uncultured bacterium. RNAcentral's name for it is "partial 16S ribosomal RNA". It matches the Rfam family "Bacterial small subunit ribosomal RNA", at positions 524 to 776 of the family's 1533-position model. The record is from RNAcentral.
UACGUAGGGUGCGAGCGUUGUCCGGAAUUAUUGGGCGUAAAGAGUUCGUAGGCGGCGCAGAAAGUAGGGUGUGAAAGCCCUCGGCUUAACCGAGGAAUUGCGCUCUAAACUACUGUGCUUGAGGAACCUAGAGGUGAGCAGAACUGAUGGUGGAGCGGUGAAAUGCGUUGAUAUCAUCAGGAAUACCGGAGGCGAAGGCGGCUCACUGGGGGUUUUCUGACUCUGAGGAACGAAAGCCAGGGGAGCGAACGGG